GGAAGGAGCUCUUCUGGAGAUCCCUCCUCUGGAGUUCUGCAGUGAGCACAGGAUGCAGUGCUUAGUGUUAUAGUUAAGAAAAGAAGACUGUGAUCCUGAAGUAAGACUGUGCCUGGGGAGUUUUACUGACUCAGUGACAGCGGGUUAACAGAUACAAUCACAAAAUUAUAGAAUACCCUGAGUUGGAGGGGACCCACAAGCAUCACAGAACCACAGAACGGAGGGCUGUCUGCCUCUGAACUGACCUUGUCGGGGACAUCCACUGAGGAUGAUAACAUUGCCAGGUGCUGAAAUUAACAGCCAUUUCCUAAGGGUGUCCUCCUCCACGUAUGUCUUCCAGAAGAAGAAAAACAGAAAAAAUGCAAAGAAAUCUUUUAGAAACCAGAAUAUUUUCUCCAGUCCCAAAAGUCUCCUAAUUCAGAAUACACCAUCUUGUUUAUGCUACAGAGCUUGUAAUUUUCUUUACGAUGCCAAAAGUUGUGAAUAUCUGAUGACAUGAAAUUUGGCUUGAUGAUGUGCUGCUGGCUGAAGCCGUACAUGAAACGGCUCUCUCAGCUUCUCAUGUCAUGUAUUAAAACAGGACAAAAACCCUGGGGGAAAAUGUAUGUUUGCUUUUCUCAGAAUUUAGUUAGGAUAUGAAGGUGCUAAAACAAUACCUUUUUAGCUCAUAUUUGUCCAUAAAUUUAGGGUGAUUUUCCUUUUUAAUGGCAAACAGAUCUGUGUCACCACGGUGACAGGUAGCUAAGGCUCAUGGCUGAUGUGAUAAUGUUUGUCAGAGAAACGGCAGCAGAAAGCAGCAGUCCCUCUGCCAACAAAAAUUUUCUAUCAGCCCUGUAGGUGUCUGACGCCCAGGCACAAAAUGGGGACAGUUAUACAAGAACAACUCGACUUCAUCACGGGUGAUGCUUGUGUAUGCAAAUACUGGUGUUGUGAAUCCAAUUAGGUUUCUCUGUGUGCAGGAAUAUGCCAAACUAGCUGCAUCUGAUCAGGCUGAUUGAGGGCUGGGUACACAUAAGGUCACUCACCAGCAGAGCCCAGCAUGGAUACCUGGAGCCAGGAGCAGGCAAGGUAAAGAUACAGUGGGAUGGCACAAUGGCAAACCUGGGUAGUGGGGAAAAAUAGCAGGAUUAUCCAUUUUAUAUCUUCAAGCAGCUCAUUUUCACUUUUCCUAAGGUUAGUUAUUGCUUUCUCUUGGGACAAGUAAUGACAAAAAUCCUGUCUAUUUUUUUGGGUGUUUUCAGUGUAUGCCCUAAGCAGAGCAGUGAACAGACGCUGCCAUGCACAGAGGCUGGGUGGCAGCCGCUUGUGCAGCCGUUGUCAAUGGAACACUUCCGCACUUAAUGAAGGAGUGGUGUCAUUUAUUAGAGCAAUUUUACUUUAGGGCCUCCUGAAUAUUCAUGGCAUGCUGGUUCCUGCUGAUCGAUGUUUCUGUUGACUCAAUGAAUCAGCCGAUCUUGUGAAGAGUUUAAAUCGGC
Molecule: long non-coding RNA, 1475 nt
Organism: Lagopus muta (rock ptarmigan)
Lineage: Eukaryota; Metazoa; Chordata; Aves; Galliformes; Phasianidae
Exons: 3
Source: RefSeq, a predicted model, not a curated record